UGCACUCACUACUGUAAGUCGCUCUGGAUAAGAGCGUCUGCUAAAUUACAAAUA
This is a non-coding RNA of Salmo salar (Atlantic salmon), 54 nucleotides long. NCBI's taxonomy places the organism in Eukaryota, Metazoa, Chordata, Actinopteri, Salmoniformes, Salmonidae. The record is from Rfam.